This 498-nucleotide ribosomal RNA is filed under the name uncultured bacterium. RNAcentral's name for it is "partial 16S ribosomal RNA". It matches the Rfam family "Bacterial small subunit ribosomal RNA", at positions 28 to 507 of the family's 1533-position model. The record is from RNAcentral.
GACGAACGCUGGCGGCGUGCCUAAUACAUGCAAGUCGAACGAGAGCAACCGGUGCUUGCACUGGUCAAUCUAGUGGCGAACGGGUGAGUAACACGUGGGUAACCUGCCCAUCAGAGGAGGAUAACAUCCGGAAACGGAUGCUAAAACCGCAUAGGUCUUCGAACCGCAUGGUUUGAAGAGGAAAAGAGGCGCAAGCUUCUGCUGAUGGAUGGACCCGCGGUGCAUUAGCUAGUUGGUGAGGUAACGGCUCACCAAGGCCGUGAUGCAUAGCCGACCUGAGAGGGUGAUCGGCCACAUUGGGACUGAGACACGGCCCAAACUCCUACGGGAGGCAGCAGUAGGGAAUCUUCCGCAAUGGACGCAAGUCUGACGGAGCAACGCCGCGUGAGUGAAGAAGGUUUUCGGAUCGUAAAACUCUGUUGUUAGAGAAGAACAAGUGCUAGAGUAACUGUUAGCGCCUUGGCGGUAUCUAACCAGAAAGCCACGGCUAACUACGUG